This 497-nucleotide ribosomal RNA is filed under the name uncultured bacterium. RNAcentral describes it as "partial 16S ribosomal RNA". It matches the Rfam family "Bacterial small subunit ribosomal RNA", at positions 28 to 507 of the family's 1533-position model. The record is from RNAcentral.
GAUGAACGCUGGCGGCGUGCUUAAUACAUGCAAGUCGAGCGAACAGACGCGGCGCUUGCUCCUUUCACGAUUGCGGAGCGCGUGAGUGUAACACGUGGAUCACCUACUUGUCAUACGGGGAUCACUACGGGACACCGGCGCUAAUACCGGAUAAUAUCUUGCAGCGCAUUGUGGAAUGGUGAGAGUCGGUGUUGGUGGCUGUACUAGAGGGAUACGAGCCGGUUUGGCUAGUUGGUAGGUUAAAGGCUUACCAAGGCAAGGAUGCGUGAGCGACGGGAGGGGGUGAUCGGCGACCCGGGAACUGAGACACGGUCCAGACUCCUACGAGAGGCAGCAGUAGGGAAUGUGCGGCAAUGGGCGAAAGCUUGACGGAGCAACGCCGCGUGUGUGACGAAGGCCUUCGGAUCGUAAAACUCUGUUAUUAGGGAAGAACAAAUGUGGCAGUAACUAUGCACGUCGUGACGGUACCUAAUCAGAAAGCCCCGGCUAACUACGUG